Molecule: ribosomal RNA, 429 nt
Filed under: uncultured bacterium
Lineage: Bacteria
Description: bacterial SSU rRNA
Rfam family: Bacterial small subunit ribosomal RNA
Source: RNAcentral
ACGAACGCUGGCGGCAGGCCUAACACAUGCAAGUCGAGCGCCCCGCAAGGGGAGCGGCGGACGGGUGAGUAACACGUGGGAAUUUUCCUCAAGGUACGGAACAACUCAGGGAAACUUGGGCUAAUACCGUAUGAUGCAGAGAUGCCAAAGAUUUAUCGCCUUGGGAUAAGCCCGCGUCAGAUUAGGUAGUUGGUGGGGUAAUGGCCUACCAAGCCUGUGAUCUGUAGCUGGUCUGAGAGGACGAUCAGCCACAUUGGGACUGAGACACGGCCCAAACUCCUACGGGAGGCAGCAGUGGGGAAUCUUGCGCAAUGGACGAAAGUCUGACGCAGCCAUGCCGCGUGAAUGAUGAAGGUCUUAGGAUUGUAAAGUUCUUUAGCCUGUGACGAUGAUGACGGUAACAGGAGAAUAAGCCCCGGCUAACUUCGU